This 1577-nucleotide long non-coding RNA is filed under the name Homo sapiens (human). RNAcentral's name for it is "non-protein coding lnc-USP32-2:3". The record is from RNAcentral. Lineage: Eukaryota; Metazoa; Chordata; Mammalia; Primates; Hominidae.
CUCCCGCGGCCCUAAGGUGCUGGCGGGCGUUUGGCGUUGCAGCUGUGUGGGCGCUGGUGCGUGCGAGUAGCGCUCGAAGAAACCCAAAGGCGUCGUGGGGCUGCCGUGUGCCCCAGAGAGCACUGCAGGCCGGGUAGGGGCUAAGGCUCCCCGCAGUCUUCUGUGUGUCGUCCAGUACGCAGUUGAAAUCGUUCUCCAACCUGGCCAGUCCUCCGAGGCCCUUCUCAGGCGACCAGACUCUGUUAACAGAGUCCAUUGCUAAAACUCCUCGUUAGUAUUUACCACUCCUCCAGUCUGUGUUUUGAAGCAGUGGUUUUCAACCACUGCCCGUUUUCAGAAGAAAUCAUCUCAAGCGUCCGUGUGCUGCUAGAAGCCGGGCCGGGAGGUCUUGGUGCCGGACUCCACCCUGCAGCCCUUCCCUUUCGCCACCGCCCUGUGCUUAGAGAAACCUUAGAGUGGAGCAAUGAGUCGCCCUUGACUGAGUAACUCUUCGGGGUCAACUUCUCCUUCCACGCCAAGGAAAGGAUUCCAGGGCGAUGUUUCUGGAAAUAGAGAUCUGACCAAGCCACUGCUCUGGUGAAAAUUCAGUGGGUCCCUAGCACCUAGUGCAGCGGCUCCUAGCCUGAGUAUUGCCGUCUUUCGGUGGGGAGGGGUUGGGUUUUUUUGUAGCAUCUGUUGAUCUGAUCUCCAACAUCCUCCACGUCAAUUCCCACUCCACCCACAUCCCUUAUCCUAUACGUAAGCUUUCCAGCCACGGUGCUGGCUUGGGUGGGGGUGCGUGCGGUGCUGACACCAAAAUGGAGGUCCCGUGUUUCUGAGAGUCUCUUUCAGAGCAAUGCAAACCUGAAACUACUCCUGCCAAGAAACGAUUGCAGCUCUUCCCGGAAAAGUUAAAGCCUUUGAGAAACAAAGCUGAGGUGGGUAACUUAAUUAAAAAAAUACAGAGAGGAGUUUCAAGUAGACUAAGUGGGAAGAAAAGGAAAGAGUCUUGGGUGGGGCAGGGAUUCAGGGCACCAGCUUCCUUAUCGCUGAGCCUGGGGGGUGGGGGAGGAGGGGGCAUGUGUUGUCACGGGAGGCAUUGAUAGAGCAACCUCCUUCAGGGAAAGAAAAAUGGAGAUAGGAAGCAGAGUGAGGAAAGGCCACAGUGGAGUCUGAGGGCUUCGGGGUGGACUUCUGGCAGGAGCCUUCUCCAGCCAUGGCUUUAGGGCUGAUAUGGUUAGGUGCUUUGUGUCCCCACCCAAGUCUCAUCUUAAAUUGUAAUCCCCAUAAUCCCCACGUGUCAAAGGAGAGACCUGGUGGAGGUAAUUGAAUCGUAGGGGUGGUUUCCACCAUGCCGUUCUCAUGAUAGUGUGUGAGUUCUCAGGAAAUCAGAUGGUUUUAUAAGGGGCUCUUCCCCCAUCACUCCACACUUCUUUCUGCUGCUUUGUGAAAGAGGUGCCUUGCUUCCACUUCUGCCGUGAUUGUAAGUUUCCUGAGACCUCCCUAGUCAUGCAGAAUUGUGAGUUAAUUAAACCUCUUUCCUUUCUAACUUACCCAGUCUUGGGUAGUUUUUUGGUUUUGUUUUGUUUUGAGAUGGA